RNAcentral lists this ribosomal RNA (1379 nucleotides) under metagenome. RNAcentral's name for it is "bacterial SSU rRNA". It matches the Rfam family "Bacterial small subunit ribosomal RNA", at positions 8 to 1380 of the family's 1533-position model. The record is from RNAcentral.
AGGGUUUGAUCCUGGCUCAGAAUGAACGUUGGCGGCGUGGAUUAGGCAUGCAAGUCGAACGAAUCCCGGUAGCAAUACCGGGGGAAGUGGCGAAAGGGGCAGUAAGGCGUGGGCAACCUGCCCCCGAGUCCGGGAUAGCCAUCCUAACGGAUGGGUAAUACCGGGAGACCCGUCGGGGAGACAUCUCCCUGACGGCAAAGGUUCACCGCUCGGGGAGGGGCUCACGUGAUAUCAGCUAGUUGGCGGGGUGACGGCCCACCAAGGCUAAGACGUCUAGCAGGUGUGAGAGCACGACCUGCGCCACUGGCACCGGGACACUGGCCAGACUCCUACGGGAGGCUGCAGUCGAGGAUCUUCGGCAAUGGGCGCAAGCCUGACCGAGCGACGCCGCGUGUGCGAUGAAGGCCUUCGGGUCGUAAAGCACUGUCGGGGGGGAGAAAGGGGCAACCUUGAUCGACCCCCGGAGGAAGCACGGGCUAAGUUCGUGCCAGCAGCCGCGGUAAGACGAACCGUGCGAACGUUAUUCGGAAUCACUGGGCUUGAAGGGCGCGUAGGCGGGCAUCAAAGUCAGGGGUGAAAUCCCGCGGCUCAACCGCGGAAGUGCCUCUGAUACUGGGUGCCUAGAGGGGUGCAGGGGCGUGCGGAACUAAGGGUGGAGCGGUGAAAUGCGUAGAUAUCCUUAGGAACACCGGUGGCGAAAGCGGCGCGCUGGACACCUACUGACGCUGAGGCGCGAAAGCCAGGGGAGCAAACGGGAUUAGAUACCCCGGUAGUCCUGGCCCUAAACGAUGGGUACUGGGUAGCGGCCCCCAACGGGGUCGCUGCCGCAGCGAAAGUGUUAAGUACCCCGCCUGGGGAGUAUGGUCGCAAGGCUGAAACUCAAAGGAAUUGACGGGGGCUCACACAAGCGGUGGAGCAUGUGGCUUAAUUCGAGACUACGCGAAGAACCUUAUCCUGGGCUUGACAAGUUCGCAAGAGUUAGGACGUAGGGACCGGAAACGGCACCCGACAGGUAUCCAAUCCUGAGCCUAACACAGGUGCUGCAUGGCUGUCGUCAGCUCGUGUCGUGAGAUGUCGGGUUAAGUCCCAUAACGAGCGAAACCCCUGUCUCCAGUUGCUAACCCGAAAGGGAGGACUCUGGAGAGACUGCUGGUGUCAAACCGGAGGAAGGUGGGGAUGACGUCAAGUCCUCAUGGCCUUUAUGCCCAGGGCUGCACACGUGCUACAAUGCCGCGUACAAAGGGAAGCGAACGCGCGAGCGGGAGCGGACCCCAAAAAACGCGGCCCAGUUCAGAUCGGAGGCUGCAACUCGCCUCCGUGAAGCCGGAAUCGCUAGUAAUCGCGGGUCAGCAACACCGCGGUGAAUGUGUUCCUGAGCC